CCGGUGCUCAACAACCACUACCGGUACACUGCCUAACCAGUACCGGUACCACCGAGUCAGUACCUCAACUCGAGAGCAGCUCAAUUUGUCCUUAUAUUGGGUAUCGAUACCACCGGUACUACCGGUACCCCAAUCCCUAGUACCGGUACUCAAUGCAAAUUCUACAGUUCCAGCAAAUUUAACACUUCGGAGUCCAUUUUCGCGCCCAAUUUGCGCCGAAAAUACUUAAAUACUCCCGAAACUCACUUCUAACCAUCCGACGCCUUCAAAGCAACUCAGGGACUUCGCGUACCACCCACAUACCAUACUUUGUUCAAUUUGAUCAAAGUUAGCAUU
RNAcentral lists this long non-coding RNA (336 nucleotides) under Ananas comosus (pineapple). RNAcentral describes it as "long non-coding RNA (ACOM_LNC026004)". The record is from RNAcentral. Lineage: Eukaryota; Viridiplantae; Streptophyta; Magnoliopsida; Poales; Bromeliaceae.